GACGAACGCUGGCGGCGUGCUUAACACAUGCAAGUCGAACGGAAAGGCCCUGCUUUUGUGGGGUGCUCGAGUGGCGAACGGGUGAGUAACACGUGAGUAACCUGCCCUUGACUUUGGGAUAACUUCAGGAAACUGGGGCUAAUACCGGAUAGGAGCUCCUGCUGCAUGGUGGGGGUUGGAAAGUUUCGGCGGUUGGGGAUGGACUCGCGGCUUAUCAGCUUGUUGGUGGGGUAGUGGCUUACCAAGGCUUUGACGGGUAGCCGGCCUGAGAGGGUGACCGGCCACAAUGGGACUGAGGUACGGCCCAGACGCCUACGGGAGGCAGCAGUGGGGAAUAUUGCACAAUGGGCGGAAGCCUGAUGCAGCAACGCCGCGUGCGGGAUGACGGCCUUCGGGUUGUAAACCGCUUUCGCCUGUGACGAAGCGUGAGUGACGGUAAUGGGUAAAGAAGCACCGGCUAACUACGUG
This 468-nucleotide ribosomal RNA is filed under the name uncultured bacterium. RNAcentral describes it as "partial 16S ribosomal RNA". It matches the Rfam family "Bacterial small subunit ribosomal RNA", at positions 28 to 507 of the family's 1533-position model. The record is from RNAcentral.